Long non-coding RNA from Anolis carolinensis (green anole), 390 nucleotides. RefSeq lists it as uncharacterized. The transcript has 4 exons. Lineage: Eukaryota; Metazoa; Chordata; Lepidosauria; Squamata; Anolidae. The record is from RefSeq and is a predicted model, not a curated record.
AAAGCUGUUACUAAUCAACUUCCGCCCGGACCCUAGUAUAUCCUACUACUCCCCCCCAGCCCCCUUCCACAUUCACACUUGUCUGUCGAUAGUCCUUUCCCAGGUUUGAAAACCAGAUCAUGGCCAUAAAUCAAUCCUCCUAGCCAGAUGGUUCUUAUCAUUUAGGUUAUCUCCACCCCAAUUGCUUUUGGCAGGAUGGAAAUAGUUCAGCUAGUGUGAAUGCUGGGCGAUCACAUCCUGACAUGACUCCUCCCUCCGCGAAGAUGACCCUGUGGAGAGAGGCUCCUACUGUUGGUUUGCAUGACUGGGAACAAUGGAUUAAUGGUGAUGGUGCUGGACUUGCCGAAGAAAGAGGUUCUGGCACUGGGUGUAGGACUAUUAAUGUGAGUA